This 21-nucleotide non-coding RNA is filed under the name Caenorhabditis elegans. The record is from RNAcentral. Lineage: Eukaryota; Metazoa; Nematoda; Chromadorea; Rhabditida; Rhabditidae.
UAUUGUUGAAAAACCAAUAGG